GUAGGUGGCAAGCGUUGUCCGGAAUUAUUGGGCGUAAAGCGCGCGCAGGCGGUCCUUUAAGUCUGAUGUGAAAGCCCACGGCUCAACCGUGGAGGGUCAUUGGAAACUGGGGGACUUGAGUACAGAAGAGGAAAGCGGAAUUCCAAGUGUAGCGGUGAAAUGCGUAGAGAUUUGGAGGAACACCAGUGGCGAAGGCGGCUUUCUGGUCUGUAACUGACGCUGAGGCGCGAAAGCGUGGGGAGCAAACAGGAUUAGAUACCCUGGUAGUCCACGCCGUAAACGAUGAGCGCUAAGUGUUAGGGGGUUUCCCGCCCCCUUAGUGCUGCAGCUAACGCAUUAAGCACUCCGCCUGGGGAGUACGGCCGCAAGGCUG
Molecule: ribosomal RNA, 373 nt
Filed under: uncultured organism
Description: partial 16S ribosomal RNA
Rfam family: Bacterial small subunit ribosomal RNA
Source: RNAcentral